AUUGAACGCUGGCGGCGUGCCUAACACAUGCAAGUCGAGCGCGAAAGGGGCUUCGGCCCUGAGUAAAGCGGCGCACGGGUGAGUAACACGUGGAUAAUCUGCCCAUAUGUUCGGGAUAACGUCUGGAAACGGGCGCUAAUACCGCAUACGCUCUGGGUUUAAAUUCAGGGGAAAGGUGGCCUCUGCUUGCAAGCUACCGCAUAUGGAUGAGUCCGCGUCUCAUUAGGUAGUUGGUAGGGUAAUGGCCUACCAAGCCGAUGAUGAGUAGCCGGCCUGAGAGGGUGAUCGGCCACACUGGGACUGACACACGGCCCAGACUCCUACGGGAGGCAGCAGUGGGGAAUAUUGCGCAAUGGGCGAAAGCCUGACGCAGCGACGCCGCGUGAGGGAAGAAGGUCUUCGGAUCGUAAACCUCUGUCAGAAGGGAAGAAGUGUAUACGUUCAAAUAGGGCGUAUGCUUGACGGUACCUUCAGAGGAAGCACCGGCUAACUCCGUGCCAGCAGCCGC
This 508-nucleotide ribosomal RNA is filed under the name uncultured bacterium. RNAcentral's name for it is "bacterial SSU rRNA". It matches the Rfam family "Bacterial small subunit ribosomal RNA", at positions 30 to 518 of the family's 1533-position model. The record is from RNAcentral.